AAGUCGUAACAAGGUUUCCGUAGGUGAACCUGCGGAAGGAUCAUUACCAAAUAUUCAAAAUAUCCAAACCCAUGUGCACGAUGGAACUGUCUUGGUUUUUGGGGUGGGCUUUCACAAGUUCACCCCAACCAAUUUUUGCAAAACUACUUUUCAAUUGUCAUGGAAUUAUUACUUGUUAUUAAUAAAUAUAAUGACAACUUUUAACGGUGGAUCUCUUGGCUCGUGGAUC
RNAcentral lists this unclassified non-coding RNA (229 nucleotides) under fungal sp. RNAcentral describes it as "partial internal transcribed spacer region". The stretch from base 1 to 46 matches the Rfam family "Eukaryotic small subunit ribosomal RNA", at positions 1786 to 1831 of the family's 1831-position model. Lineage: Eukaryota; Fungi. The record is from RNAcentral.